GACGAACGCUGGCGGCGUGCUUAACACAUGCAAGUCGAACGGAAAGGCCCUGCUUUUGUGGGGUUCUCGAGUGGCGAACGGGUGAGUAACACGUGAGUAACCUGCCCUUGACUUUGGGAUAACUUCAGGAAACUGGGGCUAAUACCGGAUAGCAGCUCCUGCUGCAUGGUGGGGGUUGGAAAGUUUCGGCGGUUGGGGAUGGACUCGCGGCUUAUCAGCUUGCUGGUUGGGUAGUUGCAUACCAAGGCUGUGGCGGGUAGCCGGCCGGGGAGGGUGACCGGGCACAAGGGGCCUGCGAGACGGCCCAGACUGCUACGGGAGGCAGUGGGGGGGAAUAUUGCACAGUGGGCGGACGCGUGAUGAAGAGACGCCGGGGGCGGAAUGACGGCCUUCGGGUUGUAAACCGCUUUCGCUUGUGACGAAGCGGUAGUGACGGUAACGGGUGAAGAAGCACCGGCUAACUACGUG
This 468-nucleotide ribosomal RNA is filed under the name uncultured bacterium. RNAcentral describes it as "partial 16S ribosomal RNA". It matches the Rfam family "Bacterial small subunit ribosomal RNA", at positions 28 to 507 of the family's 1533-position model. The record is from RNAcentral.